UACGUAGGGGGCAAGCGUUGUCCGGAUUUAUUGGGCGUAAAGAGCUCGUAGGCGGUUUGUCGCGUCGGCCGUGAAAUCUCCACGCUUAACGUGGAGCGUGCGGUCGAUACGGGCAGACUUGAGUUCGGUAGGGGAGACUGGAAUUCCUGGUGUAGCGGUGAAAUGCGCAGAUAUCAGGAGGAACACCGGUGGCGAAGGCGGGUCUCUGGGCCGAUACUGACGCUGAGGUGCGAAAGCGUGGGGAGCAAACAGG
This 253-nucleotide ribosomal RNA is filed under the name uncultured bacterium. RNAcentral's name for it is "partial 16S ribosomal RNA". It matches the Rfam family "Bacterial small subunit ribosomal RNA", at positions 524 to 776 of the family's 1533-position model. The record is from RNAcentral.